CGGAUUGGCAUGGGGGAAACCCUGACCCAGCAACGCCGCGUGAAGGAAGAAGGCCUUCGGGUUGUAAACUUCUUUUACCAGGGACGAAGAACGUGACGGUACCUGGAGAAAAAGCCACGGCUAACUACGUGCCAGCAGCCGCGGUGAUACGUAGGUGGCAAGCGUUGUCCGGAUUUACUGGGUGUAAAGGGCGUGUAGGCGGAGAUGCAAGUUGGGAGUGAAAUCCCGGGGCUCAACCCCGGAACUGCUUUCAAAACCGCAUCCCUUGAGUGUCGGAGAGGCAAGCGGAAUUCCUAGUGUAGCGGUGAAAUGCGUAGAUAUUAGGAGGAACACCAGUGGCGAAGGCGGCUUGCUGGACGAUAACUGACGCUGAGGCGCGAAAGCGUGGGGAGCAAACAGGAUUAGAUAC
This 409-nucleotide ribosomal RNA is filed under the name uncultured bacterium. RNAcentral's name for it is "bacterial SSU rRNA". It matches the Rfam family "Bacterial small subunit ribosomal RNA", at positions 359 to 785 of the family's 1533-position model. The record is from RNAcentral.